ACGAACGCUGGCGGCGUGCUUAACACAUGCAAGUCGAACGGAAAGACCCUGCUUUUGUGGGGUGCUCGAGUGGCGAACGGGUGAGUAACACGUGAGUAACCUGCCCUUGACUUUGGGAUAACUUCAGGAAACUGGGGCUAAUACCGGAUAGGAGCUCCUGCUGCAUGGUGGGGGUUGGAAAGUUUCGGCGGUUGGGGAUGGACUCGCGGCUUAUCAGCUUGUUGGUGGGGUAGUGGCUUACCAAGGCUUUGACGGGUAGCCGGCCUGAGAGGGUGACCGGCCACAUUGGGACUGAGAUACGGCCCAGACUCCUACGGGAGGCAGCAGUGGGGAAUAUUGCACAAUGGGCGGAAGCCGGAUGCAGCAACGCCGCGUGCGGGAUGACGGCCUUCGGGUUGUAAACCGCUUUCGCCUGUGACGAAGCGUGAGUGACGGUAAUGGGUAAAGAAGCACCGGCUAACUACGU
This 466-nucleotide ribosomal RNA is filed under the name uncultured bacterium. Its description in RNAcentral is "partial 16S ribosomal RNA". It matches the Rfam family "Bacterial small subunit ribosomal RNA", at positions 29 to 506 of the family's 1533-position model. The record is from RNAcentral.